This 1438-nucleotide long non-coding RNA is filed under the name Salmo salar (Atlantic salmon). RNAcentral's name for it is "lncRNA (ENSSSAG00000106855.1)". Lineage: Eukaryota; Metazoa; Chordata; Actinopteri; Salmoniformes; Salmonidae. The record is from RNAcentral.
ACACAGCCUGCUGCCAGACAGGGUCAUGGUUGGUUAGACCAGGGAACACAGCCUGCUGCCAGACAGGGUCAUGGUUGGUUAGACCAGGGAACACAGCCUGCUGCCAGACAGGGCCAUGGUUGGUUAGACCAGGGAACACAGCCUGCUGCCAGACAGGGCCAUGGUUGGUUAGACCAGGGAACACAGCCUGCUGCCAGACAGGGCCAUGGUUGGUUAGACCAGGGAACACAGCCUGCUGCCAGACAGGGCCAUGGUUGGUUAGACCAGGGAACACAGUCUGCUGCCAGGAAGGGUCAUGAUCAGUUAGAUGAAAGUGCUCUCUCAGUGCAACAUUUGCUUGCAGAUCAGUCAGUUCCAUCUGUAGAGAUCCAGCAUGUGUCCACUUUGAACGUCUGUGUCGUCACCUCCUUUUUGAAAAUCCUCUGACAUCUGUGAUGAGGAAUGGAUUCUCAAAUUAGAAGAAGGAGCUACUGUCCAAAGGCUGAAGCUGUCAAAGCGAUUUUUCAGACGUUUACAAUCAGCAUAUCUAUGAAGUCAACAUGAGGAGAAACAUCUCUCUAACCCUGAAUCUGUUCCUGUACUUUGGGGAAGUGUGCUCCGUCUCCUUCAACACAUUCCAGUUUCCUAUGGAAGGAGAGGACAGAUUUUCAUCAAAUCACAAACUGAAUUGUUCUUGCCCUGUAGUUUCACGUUGAGCUCAUUAAAGGUGUGAUGUCGACCAAAAAAAUUCAACAAUAUCCAUUUUGCUCUCGUCUUGUAAAAAAAAAGUGAAAACUCUGUUGCCUUCUGAGCUGUACUAGGAAAGCUAUUAACUCCUUUUGAAUGGACCAAAAGCGUUUCAACACCCUGCUUUUACUGAGCCGUCUCACGUUGUCGUGCAGCAGUAGGUCAUUUGCCUUUCAACUUCUUUCCAGGAAUUCUCUCAGCGGGACGAUGUUGAUGAGGAUGAUGCCCUGAGGAAGUGGAUGAGUUUCAUCAUUGUAUUCAUCAUUUCAACAUACUCUUCUGACAGAUUGGCGCAUGGGGGGGGGGAUAGACUGAUGAAUGAUCAACAGUGGUAAGCUGUGAGAUCAGGAUUGUCCUCUUUCAGCUGUGCCAAAGCUCCUCUCUCUCUUCCUGUCAUGGCAGGGGACCCUGUCUGAGGUGGUAGAGACCACUUGUUUUAGGUCUGUCCCCCUCUCUCUCUUCCUGUCAUGGCAGGGGACCCUGUCUGAGGUGGUAGAGGCCUCUUGUUUUAGGUCUGUCCCCCUCUCUCUCUUCCUGUCAUGGCAGGGGACCCUGUCUGAGGUGGUAGAGGCCUCUUGUUUUAGGUCUGUCCCCCUCUCUCUCUUCCUGUCAUGGCAGGGGACCCUGUCUGAGGUGGUAGAGGCCUCUUGUUUUAGGUCUGUCCCCCUCUCUCUCUUCCUGUCAUGGCAGGGGACCCAGUCUGAGGUGGUAG